GCCAUCGGGUCUGGCUCCGAAGCUCAGCACAUUGUAACUCAAGGGAAUUGCUAAAGAUGAACUAAAGAAGAGAAUCAAAAGAAAUGUUAAAAAACUAAUAGGCAAAGACAUUGAUGUUGACAUUGUUUCAAAGCUUAAAUUUACUAAUAGAAAUGAGAGAAAUAGAUUUGAGACGUUGAGGAGUUAGUGUGAAGUUGAAAAGAUUUAAAUGGGU
RNAcentral lists this long non-coding RNA (214 nucleotides) under Citrus sinensis (sweet orange). RNAcentral's name for it is "long non-coding RNA (CSIN_LNC004667)". Lineage: Eukaryota; Viridiplantae; Streptophyta; Magnoliopsida; Sapindales; Rutaceae. The record is from RNAcentral.